Molecule: ribosomal RNA, 407 nt
Filed under: uncultured bacterium
Lineage: Bacteria
Description: partial 16S ribosomal RNA
Rfam family: Bacterial small subunit ribosomal RNA
Source: RNAcentral
AUUGAACGCUGGCGGCAGGCCUAACACAUGCAAGUCGAGCGGAGCGGCAGAGGGGGGAGUAAUGCCUAGGAAUCGGCAUGGUAGUGGGGGAUAACGUCCGGAAACGGGCGCUAAUACCGCAACCUAUCAGAUGAGCCUAGGUGGGAUUAGCUAGUUGGUGGGGUAAAGGCAUACCAAGGCGACGAUCCGUAACUGGUCUGAGAGGAUGAUCAGUCACACUGGAACUGAGACACGGUCCAGACUCCUACGGGAGGCAGCAGUGGGGAAUAUUGGACAAUGGGCGAAAGCCUGAUCCAGCCAUGCCGCGUGUAUGAAGAAGGUCUUCGGAUUGUAAAGCACUUUAAGUUGGGAGGCGUUACCCACAGAAGAAGCACCGGCUAACUUCGUGCCAGCAGCCGCGGUAAUAC